This 165-nucleotide unclassified non-coding RNA is filed under the name Penicillium atrofulvum. RNAcentral describes it as "partial internal transcribed spacer 2". Lineage: Eukaryota; Fungi; Ascomycota; Eurotiomycetes; Eurotiales; Aspergillaceae. The record is from RNAcentral.
CUGCCCUCCAGCCCGGCUGGUGUGUUGGGCCCCGCCCCCCUUCCCGGGGGGGCGGGCCCGAAAGGCAGCGGCGGCACCGCGUCCGGUCCUCGAGCGUAUGGGGCUUUGUCACCCGCUCUUGUAGGCCCGGCCGGUGCCAGCCGACCCCCUCAAUCUAUUUUUUCA